This 4811-nucleotide long non-coding RNA is filed under the name Cricetulus griseus (Chinese hamster). RNAcentral describes it as "lncRNA (ENSCGRG00015031025.1)". The record is from RNAcentral. Lineage: Eukaryota; Metazoa; Chordata; Mammalia; Rodentia; Cricetidae.
CAGCAGGGUCUUCAAAUAUAUCAUUUUAUUUGAACACAUUGUUAUUAGACAAGGAGGUGAUGAAAGAUAUUUAAUGCUCUGAUAAAUAUUAGAGAAAACAAUCACAUAAAAUGGUAAGGCAUCAAAAGACUUGCCUCAAAAUUUACUGAACUAAUUUAUAAAGUGGCAGAAGUGGAUUCAUGCAAGGAAGUUUCCAAAAGAUAGGUUGAAGUAACAUUUUACCUAGCUUUAAUUUCUAGACCAUACAGUUUCAACAGUGAAAACUAUAGCACAUUUGAAUCAUCAUUUGGCUCUUGAUUUUACCAGCAUCCUAGCUCUGCUUCAGACUCCACCCUAGAAAGCAGAGUCUCCAUCUGAUGCAGAACCUUACUGUGUUGACAACCAGAUCUGUAUCUGCCUGAUGUGUGCAUUGGGCUGACUGGGAAGUCCUAUCAGAACCCAUCUUUCCAUUUUGCUUUAACAAGUUAUGAUGUUAGACCUGAUUCAGAUGAGUAUCUCACCUUCCAAUUAAGGCUUAAAAUUCUGGUUUACAAUUUAAUUUUCUAACAUCUUUCAACACUCUUAAAUUCUGAUAAAACUCCUAUUAGGCAGAGGCAAAUUGCUAUAUCCCAAUCUCAUAUAGUAGGUUGGAGUCUCACUAUAAAAAUAAAAGAUUGUUAGAAACUCCACUCUGAGUUUUCAUCAUAUAAUCUGUCCCCUGGGUCACAUGUGCCUAAUUCCUGCUUGAGAUUGCUGCAGUCUGGAAGAACACACCAGAAUGUCCCUAAUCCAUUACUGAGGAAUCCUAACGAUCAAUGGGGAAUUUUUAUAAAAUUAUUAUAGGUCAGUGUUAAAUCCAAAAGCUGCAAAAAUACUCACAAAGGAAUCAGCUACAAAUCAGGGUAAAAUACCAUGGAAAUGUAAAUGCAGAGAAUCAUAAGGAAGAUAAACUAUUGGUUUUCAUAAUAUGGAUGUAUUGCAUGGCAGAUUUCCUAACAUAAGUAAGUCUACUCUAUCUCUCAGAUUUCAUAAAAUAUUCUGUAAUGAAUUCACAAUACUAUUUUUUUAUCAAGGUGGAAUACUUCACUUUGUGGCAAACAUAAUUCUCCAUACACUUGUCGUGUAAUUUAUGUAUAUAUAUCGUUUGAUUGAUCAGUCUGGGUAAAAUUUUCAUGUGAAGAUUAUCUUCAAAUGAGUCUCAGUCACAGGAUAUUAAAAUUGCCAGCAUAUGCUUUACCUUUCUUAUCUAAAUCUUUAUGGGAAUAUUUAAAUGUUCAGAUAAUCUUCUGUCUAUCAUACCCUUAAAAAAACCCAGGUAUUUUCUCGUUGUUUGUCCUGCUGAAUAUGUAAGGACAAUACACAUGGCAUUUGUAUAGCUUUAUCAAAAAUUGGAUGGAAUCAAGCUGGGAAUUAGUUUAUGUAUUAUCAUAUAGGCUUUAUUGCUACCUGCAAUGAAACAAGUCAUUAUGGUGCUGCUAUGUUGCUAGAGAUUCAUGUCAACUUUAUUUGAUUCCAAAUCACUCAGCUCCUCGUUAUUAAUCAGAUUGUGAUACAGCCCUGGGAAAAUAAUGCUUUUUGUCAAAACAACUUUAGAGCAGUGGCUUUCUCAGAACAUUCUAGUAUACACCAAACUGCUGUCAUUUUCAAAAACAUUGCUUUCUCAGUAGCACAACAGCUAUACACUGGAGGAAAAACUGUUCACUGCUGCAAUGCUGCAUGAGUGCCUCUCUACCAUGGCACUCUGGCAAAACAGAGCACUCAUAAGAAUUACAGGAACUCCAAUUUGAGCAGCUUUAAAGGAACAAUGAUUUCUUUUAAAAAGAAAAAUAUUACCUUGAUUUUCUGAUCCUCCUGUAUCCGUUUCCCUAAUGUUGAAAUUACAGGCAUGGGGCACUACACCUGGCUCCAGUUUUUGAUGCUUUUGAUGACAUAUGUACCCUAAGAAAGAAGUAUAAACCUAAACAUGUCACGUGAAAGUUACUUUUCAAAUAUAGCCAGGCCACGGAUUAUAUAUCAGUGUCAUGCCAUAAAUACUUCUAUAGCCAAACGACGACACUGGUUUGUGUGUUUUAUCUUUAAAUAAUGAUCUGAAACAGCAAUUUGUUAAUUAUAAUCCUAAUGUGAUUGCUUUAGUCAGCCAGCCAAUAUAAUUUGCAACCCAUUGAGAAUCAUUGGCAUAAUAUGCUUGCAUUGUCCAUUCUCAGGACAUGCUCAAUAUUUAUUUUGAUCACUAAGCUAACGCAUGGAGGAAUUUCGAAUUUGUGUAAAAUGAACAAUGUUUGCCUCAGUGCUUUUUCACUGCUUUGGAAAUAAAGUGUAGGUAAUAAAAAUUUUGAAUUGUACAGUGCAAACUGAUGAUAGCUUGAGUGUUUCAUCUUGCAUCUUGGAAUUGAGCUGUGUGUCUUUUAGAGCUAUCGUAGAUGAGCGUGAAAAUAGGUCUACAUCUUUUCUUAAAAUAAUACUUAGAAACUGCUCUCUCAUGUGCUUUGUAUCUUGGAAAAAUUUCCAGAUUAACAUAACACUUCCAUUUCCUUCAUUUUCUGUAUCAGAUGUACAUGGUCUCCCCUUUCUUUAGAUAUUCAUAUUGUAUUCAACAAGCUGCCUGUGAAGAAACAUAAAAAUUGUUUGCAGGUUUGUUUCUCCAUUUUGAUAUCAAUGUAGCUGUAAAAAAAGUCCUUUAACACCUAUGUCUACGUUAUACACAAAUGUGUUUGUAAAUACUUCAGAGUAGAUUUUGUGAGUUAAAUAUACACAAAUUUUACAUUUUGAUAAAUUUCCUUCACAGCGAUGGUACUAGUGAAUGUCCCCACAAAUCAUGUAUAUAAACAUACAUUUCUUUAGAUUCCUUUUACUUGUUUGUUUUAGAGACAGGGUCUCAUGUCACCCAGGCCAGUUUGGAAUGUGUAGAUAGGAAUGCUAUUAAACUUCUGAUGCUCCUAUUUUCAUAUCUUGUGUAGUGGGGUUGUAACUGUCUGUGAAGGUCUUUCACUAUUUUGAUAAUAUUAUGUAAUCCAGUAUAGUACAUUUAUUCAAUAUGUAGUUGUCAUCAUUAUUCUCUUAUUGCUUACUAUGGUUUCCUAGCACUUAUCACCGGACAUUACACUUCUGUUAUUAAACUUAUGCUUCUUCUCAGUGAUGAAUAAGCCUCACUGUAAGGAAUUUUGUUGGAUUUGUUCACUGAUUUAUUUCUCCCCUUCUCUUUCUUCAGCCCACAAUCCACACUGCCAGAGAAGUUAGGAAACAAGGAGGACCCUAAGAGAGACAUACAUGGUCCCUCGGAGAAGGGGAAAUGGGACAAGGUCUCCUGAGAUAAUUGGGAGCAUGGGGGGAGGGGAGAGGGAGUUAGCAGUUGUAAUAUCUUUUAACUGACACUUUUAUUAGCAAUUUUCCUUUUUUAAUUCUAGUGAUUAAAACCAGGACCUCCCACAUACCAGGCAAGUGCUAUCCUACUAACUGAUGUAUGUCACAGGCCUCUGACUUCAUGUAUUUGGAAUUUGAGUCCCUUCUAUUUUGUCAUUUACUUAAAAGUUUGACAAUUUAUCUUUUAAAAUAGCUAAUUCUGUCUUAUUGAUCACCUGUAUUUUCCUUUUAAAAACCUACUUUAUUUAUUGCUACUCUGAUAUCAUGCUUUUCCUUCUAUUAUUGUUGGGUUUGGCUUUUUCUUGCUUUUCUGUCUUCAGAAGAAUCACAGGGAUUUAUUAUUGACAUUUUCAUGUCUUGUAAACUUAAUAAGUCAUUCAUCAACAUGCAGUCAGUUUCUUUUUCUCUUAUCAUUGUUUUUUCCUAAAGUAUACUCAGUUUGAUAUAAGUACAGCUUUUUAUGUUUGUUUAUAGACUCAGUUUUCUUGAAGUAUUUUCUACCAUUUUACUUUCAUUCUGGAUGUAAUUGUAUUAGUAAUUAAAUUUCUUAUAGGCAACAUAUUUCUGGGUCUUGGUUUUUUUCCUCUAGAUUUUUAAAUUUAAGCUAGAAACAAUCUUAUUUUACAUAUCAAUCCCAGUUCCCCUCACUAACCCCCCAUUCUAUCCUCCUACUCGACAGGGAGGGCGAGGAUGGGGGAUGGGAUGGGGGUGUGGUGGGGGGCAUGGGAGGAAGGGAGGGAGAGGGAACUGGGAUUGAUAAGCAAAAUGAGAUUGUUCCUAAUUUAAAUAAAAUUAUAAAAAGAACUGGGUUUUGUAUGCCAGCUUAUAUUAAUGGUUGUGCUAUAUUCUUUUAUUCUAUUUUAUUGAAAGUAUUAUUUCAUAUAAAAUAUUCUGAUCACUAUUUCCCUUCCCUCACCUCUCAAAUUCUCCUUUUUAUCAACCCAUUCAACUCAAUACAUUCUUCUGUUUAGAAAACAAACAGGCAAAACAAAACAGUAAACCAAAGGAAACAGAAAACAAAACAAAGAGGAAGCAUGAAACACACACACACACACACACACACACACACACACUUGCAGAGGUAUGCAUACAUACAUACAUACUAACCCACCAAAAUCACAAAAUUGAAAACCAUAAUAUAUAAGCAAAAGAACCAGCUCAGCUACUGCUCAGACCCACAUCCUGCGCCUUGGGUUGGCCCACCCCAUCGUUUACCCUCAUCUAUCUCCUGCUGAAGUGCAUGAAGGGACCGGUCCUGUGUAGAUAACUGAAGGAUCUCCAUGACUCAGGGCAACAGAAAAAUAUCAGGAGUUUUGAUGCGGGUCCAGUGAUGAUGGUGUGCCAGAGGACUUGAACCAGACCCACGACUCAUUGCAAUGAACAUUUUCUGAGUGAGCUGAUGGAACAAAAGGGUAUACCACGUCACACACUGCAGCACCAAUGCCGCUAGGAUGAAUGAAAAGGUGUUGGAG